Molecule: ribosomal RNA, 776 nt
Filed under: uncultured Neocallimastigales
Lineage: Eukaryota; Fungi; Neocallimastigomycota; Neocallimastigomycetes; Neocallimastigales
Description: partial large subunit ribosomal RNA
Rfam family: Eukaryotic large subunit ribosomal RNA
Source: RNAcentral
GUACACGCUGUGACUAGCAUAUCAAUAAGCGGAGGAAAAGAAACUAACAAGGAUUCCCUUAGUAACGGCGAGUGAAGCGGGAAGAGCUCAAAUUUGAAAUCUUCAAGGUUUUACCUUGACGAAUUGUAGUUUAAAGAAGUGUUUUCUGCUGAAGUUUUGGUAAAAGUUCUUUGGAAUAGGACAUCAUAGAGGGUGAGAAUCCCGUAUUUGACCAUUAUUUUCAGCUUUGUGAUACACUUUCAAAGAGUCGGAUUGUUUGGGAAUGCAGUCCAAAAUGGGUGGUAAAUUUCAUCUAAAGCUAAAUAUUGGCGAGAGACCGAUAGCGAACAAGUACCGUGAGGGAAAGAUGAAAAGAACUUUGAAAAGAGAGUUAAACAGUACGUGAAAUUGUCAAAAGGGAAGCGUUUGACACCAGUGUUGUUUUCUCGAAAAUCAAUUAAAAAUGGCUCGAUUUUGUAUUGCUUGAGACCUUAAAAGCUCACUGUACAUUUUUCGUGUCUUUUUUAAUGCACUUUUCGUUUAACAAGUCAACAUCAGUUUCUUUUGUUGUAAGAGGGUCAUUGGAAGGUGGCUUUCUUUUCGGAGAAAGUGUUUAUAGCCUUUGGCCUCUGCAAUCGGAGAGACUGAGGUCUGCAGCGUAGACUCUUCGGGGCUAGAUACAUUUGUGCUAAGUUAUAGCUUUUUAUAGACAACUUGUUGACUAUAAUUAGUCUUGUAGCUUACUCGCUUAUGCUAUUUUACCUACGCUUAGGAUAGUUGAGUAGCGACAUACGCAC